GAUGGGUGGCCGAGUGGUUGAAGGCACCGGUCUUGAAAACCGGCAAUCCGCAAGGGUUCGUGGGUUCGAAUCCCACCCCAUC
Molecule: transfer RNA, 82 nt
Filed under: Candidatus Luteimonas excrementigallinarum
Lineage: Bacteria; Pseudomonadati; Pseudomonadota; Gammaproteobacteria; Lysobacterales; Lysobacteraceae
Rfam family: tRNA
About the family: Transfer RNA (tRNA) molecules are approximately 80 nucleotides in length.
Source: RNAcentral